GAAAUAUGUUGAACAAGUGGAAGCUGCUAACUAACCACUUUAGCGGUUCAAUUCCGUUUAUAUUUCU
RNAcentral lists this transfer RNA (67 nucleotides) under Symplocodes ridleyi. RNAcentral's name for it is "tRNA-Ser". The record is from RNAcentral. Lineage: Eukaryota; Metazoa; Arthropoda; Insecta; Blattodea; Blattellidae.